RNAcentral lists this ribosomal RNA (253 nucleotides) under uncultured bacterium. Its description in RNAcentral is "partial 16S ribosomal RNA". It matches the Rfam family "Bacterial small subunit ribosomal RNA", at positions 524 to 776 of the family's 1533-position model. RNAcentral also lists the same sequence under 1 other name. The record is from RNAcentral.
UACGUAGGGUGCAAGCGUUGCCCGGAUUUAUUGGGCGUAAAGGGCGCGUAGGCGGCUCGGCACGUCCGUUGUGAAAUCGCCCGGCUCAACUGGGCGGGGUCAGCGGAUACGGCCGAGCUUGAGCAAGCUAGGGGGCAAUGGAAUUCCCGGUGUAGUGGUGGAAUGCGUAGAUAUCGGGAGGAACACCAGUGGCGAAGGCGGUUGCCUGGAGCUUUGCUGACGCUGAGGCGCGAAAGCGUGGGGAGCGAUCCGG